Molecule: long non-coding RNA, 1160 nt
Filed under: Equus asinus (donkey)
Lineage: Eukaryota; Metazoa; Chordata; Mammalia; Perissodactyla; Equidae
Description: lncRNA (ENSEASG00005026817.1)
Source: RNAcentral
UGGAGGUCCAUGCCCAGGAUCCGAACCAGCGAACCCCAGGCUGCUAAAGCAGAGCAUGUGAACUUAACCACUAUACCACCAGGUCCUUCCACGGGGAACUAAGAGGCAUGUUGACAUGUUUUAUAAUAGCCCCAAACUGGAAACAUCCCAAAAGCCCAUCAACAAAAGAACAGAUUCAUCAAGUGUGGCACACUCCUGCCAUGGAAUUCUCAGUGUCGGUGAAUAUGACUGAACCACAGCUACACAGAAAUAUGGAUGAGUCUCAAAUCACAGGUGCAAUGAAAGAACAAGAGUAUGACUCCAUGUUUGUAAAAUUCCAGAAAAAGCGAAACUAAGUAAUAUAUUGUCAAGACAUAAACAGAUAGGUGGUAUGUAUAGAUAAUUCAAUGGAAUGAUUAACAUAAAACUCAGUAUUCGUUAACCUUUGCUGAAGAAUUAAGGAGAUGAGGUUGGAGAGGAUUUAGGGGUUUUUGUGAUUCUGAACCAGGAUGAGGAUGCAUGGGUGUUCUUUUUAUUAUUAUUAUUCACUGUCACAUAUCUUCAUAUACAUUUGAAUUAUACUAUUUCACAAUAAGCAUGAACAAGUUUAUUCUGAAAUAUUGCUAACAUACAGACAAGUAGAGAAAAUAGAGAAAGAUUUGAAAGAACAUUCAUGUUUGCACCAUACAGAUUUAUCAAUUCUUAACGUGCCGUGUUUGUUUCAGAUCCUUUUUAAAGAAAUAAAACGUUACGUGCUGUUAAGGACCCUCAUGCGCGCUCUCUAAUCACCUUCCUUUCUCUCUCCCAUCAGAAGGAAUAACAACCCUGAAAUUAUGUAUCCUUCUUUUCUCCAUUUUAUACUUUACUGACAAGGUCUUGCAUCCAUAAACAAUACAUGUCCUGUUGCAGGUUUUAAAUUUUAUGCAGAGCAUAUUAUACUCCAAAUGUCAUCUUGGAAUCAGAUUUCCCAUUUUUAGAUUGAUUUAUGUUUAUGCAUAUAGAUCCAGUUUAUCCAAACCGCUAUAAAGUAAUCCGACAGAGAGGUGGCAAAAUGUUAAAUGUGGUGCAUCUGGGUAGACGGUGUAGAGUUUCCUGUAUUACUUUUGUAACUUGCUGUAAAUUGGAAAUUACUUCAGAAUAACGACAUCAGUACUGAUUCACAUAUAUUAGCAGUAUGCACU